CCAAUAGCGGAGGAAAAGAAACCAACUGGGAUUACCUUAGUAACGGCGAGUGAAGCGGUAAAAGCUCAAAUUUGAAAUCUGGUACUUUCAGUGCCCGAGUUGUAAUUUGUAGAAUUUGUCUUUGAUUAGGUCCUUGUCUAUGUUCCUUGGAACAGGACGUCAUAGAGGGUGAGAAUCCCGUUUGGCGAGGAUACCUUUUCUCUGUAAGACUUUUUCGAAGAGUCGAGUUGUUUGGGAAUGCAGCUCAAAGUGGGUGGUAAAUUCCAUCUAAAGCUAAAUAUUGGCGAGAGACCGAUAGCGAACAAGUACAGUGAUGGAAAGAUGAAAAGAACUUUGAAAAGAGAGUGAAAAAGUACGUGAAAUUGUUGAAAGGGAAGGGCAUUUGAUCAGACAUGGUGUUUUUUGCAUGCACUCGCCUCUCGUGGGCUUGGGCCUCUCAAAAAUUUCACUGGGCCAACAUCAAUUCUGGCAGUAGGAUAAAUCAUUAAGAAUGUAGCUACCUCGGUAGUGUUAUAGCUUAUUGGAAUACUGCUAGCUGGGAUUGAGGACUGCGCUUCGGCAAGGAUGUUGGCAUAAUGGUUAAAUGCCGCCCGUCUAAAAACCCCCGGGCCC
Molecule: ribosomal RNA, 612 nt
Filed under: Hanseniaspora opuntiae
Lineage: Eukaryota; Fungi; Ascomycota; Saccharomycetes; Saccharomycodales; Saccharomycodaceae
Description: partial large subunit ribosomal RNA
Rfam family: Eukaryotic large subunit ribosomal RNA
Source: RNAcentral